Molecule: non-coding RNA, 24 nt
Filed under: Cricetulus griseus (Chinese hamster)
Lineage: Eukaryota; Metazoa; Chordata; Mammalia; Rodentia; Cricetidae
Source: RNAcentral
GUAUGACAAAGUAGAGGUAGUAGA